GAUGAAGAACGCAGCGAAAUGCGAUAAGUAAUGCGAAUUGCAGAAUUCAGUGAGUCAUCGAAUCUUUGAACGCACAUUGCGCCCUGUGGUAUUCCGCAGGGCAUGCCUGUUCGAGCGUCAUUUCAACCCUCAAGCUCUGCUUGGUGUUGGGCCCUGCCCGCUGCGGCCGGCCCUAAAGACAGUGGCGGUGCCGCCUGGCCCUGAGCGUAGUACAUCUCUCGCUCCAGUGCCCGGUGGUAGCCUGCCAGAACCCCAACUCUCGUGGUUGACCUCGGAUCAGGUAGGGAUACCCGCUGAACUUGAGCAUAUCAAUAAGCGGAGGA
Molecule: unclassified non-coding RNA, 323 nt
Filed under: soil metagenome
Description: partial contains 5.8S ribosomal RNA, internal transcribed spacer 2, and large subunit ribosomal RNA
Rfam family: 5.8S ribosomal RNA (bases 1-120)
Source: RNAcentral